GAUGAACGCUGGCUACAGGCUUAACACAUGCAAGUCGUGGGGAAACGGCAUUAUGUGCUUGCACAUUCUGGACGUCGACCGGCGCACGGGUGAGUAUCGCGUAUCCAACCUGCCCCUUACUUGGGGAUACCCCGUCGAAAGACGGCCUAAUACCCGAUGUGUUUCAUUGACGGCAUCCGAUAUGAAACAAAGGUUUUUCCGGUAAGGGAUGGGGAUGCGUCUGAUUAGCUAGUUGGCGGGGCAACGGCCCACCAAGGCGACGAUCAGUAGGGGUUCUGAGAGGAAGGUCCCCCACAUUGGAACUGAGACACGGUCCAAACUCCUACGGGAGGCAGCAGUGAGGAAUAUUGGUCAAUGGACGCAAGUCUGAACCAGCCAAGUAGCGUGCAGGAUGACGGCCCUAUGGGUUGUAAACUGCUUUUAUGUGGGAAUAAAGUGGCGCACGUGUGCGCCAUUGCAUGUACCUCAUGAAUAAGGACCGGCUAAUUCCGUGCCAGCAGCCGCGGUAAUACGGAAGGUCCGGGCGUUAUCCGGAUUUAUUGGGUUUAAAGGGAGUGUAGGCGGUCUGUUAAGCGUGUUGUGAAAUUUAGGUGCUCAACAUUUAACUUGCAGCGCGAACUGUCAGACUUGAGUACACGCAGCGCAGGCGGAAUUCAUGGUGUAGCGGUGAAAUGCUUAGAUAUCAUGAGGAACUCCGAUCGCGAAGGCAGCCUGCGGGAGUGUUACUGACGCUUAAGCUCGAAGGUGCGGGUAUCGAACAGG
This 762-nucleotide ribosomal RNA is filed under the name Prevotella nigrescens. Its description in RNAcentral is "bacterial SSU rRNA". It matches the Rfam family "Bacterial small subunit ribosomal RNA", at positions 28 to 776 of the family's 1533-position model. The record is from RNAcentral. Lineage: Bacteria; Pseudomonadati; Bacteroidota; Bacteroidia; Bacteroidales; Prevotellaceae.